UAGCCGUAAACGAUACUCGCUAGGUGUCGGCCACGGUGCGACCGUUGUCGGUGCCGUAGGGAAGCCGUGAAGCGAGCCACCUGGGAAGUACGGCCGCAAGGCUGAAACUUAAAGGAAUUGGCGGGGGAGCACAACAACGGGUGGAGCUUGCGGUUUAAUUGGAUUCAACGCCGGAAAUCUUACCGGGACCGACAGCAACAUGAAGGCCAAGCUGAAGACGUUGCCGGAUUAGCUGAGAGGAGGUGCAUGGCGUCAGUGACU
RNAcentral lists this ribosomal RNA (261 nucleotides) under uncultured archaeon. Its description in RNAcentral is "partial 16S ribosomal RNA". It matches the Rfam family "Archaeal small subunit ribosomal RNA", at positions 748 to 1008 of the family's 1478-position model. The record is from RNAcentral.